AUUUCAGUGCAAGAAGUCACAUAUAUGGUGGCGAUAAACAUCUUUUUUUGUCACAAGUCUUGGGAAUUUUUCUGACGCACGUUUUCUGUUUUAGUUCCAUUAAAAAACUAUGUUAAGAAAGCAUACUACUUGGACAGAUUAAAUGAGCCAUUAGCCUCCCAGUGUGUAUGUUCUUCUUCCUGACUGAUUGGAUUUCACAUGUGCGUUUGGGAUGCUGGGGAGCUGUAGUCCGGAGAUGCUUUUGGUUUUUUUCAGAAUUUCUUUUUUUGGUUUUUGUUACUGAAGUUUUGUUGUGUGUUUAUUCUUUAUUCUUUAUUAUAAAGUGUGUUUGUUAGAUUGUAAAGAAUUGUUAGUGAGCUUUUUUUCUAAUUUAUUUACUUCCUCUGUAUUAUUGUUUUCUUAGUUUUGUUA
Silurus meridionalis is the source of this 411-nucleotide long non-coding RNA. RefSeq lists it as uncharacterized. Lineage: Eukaryota; Metazoa; Chordata; Actinopteri; Siluriformes; Siluridae. The transcript has 3 exons. The record is from RefSeq and is a predicted model, not a curated record.